CCUGACAUCGAUCGAGCGGAAAAAAAUUUCAGAAA
RNAcentral lists this ribosomal RNA (35 nucleotides) under Gyrodactylus kobayashii. Its description in RNAcentral is "partial 28S ribosomal RNA". Lineage: Eukaryota; Metazoa; Platyhelminthes; Monogenea; Gyrodactylidea; Gyrodactylidae. The record is from RNAcentral.